RNAcentral lists this unclassified non-coding RNA (248 nucleotides) under Hevea brasiliensis (rubber tree). Lineage: Eukaryota; Viridiplantae; Streptophyta; Magnoliopsida; Malpighiales; Euphorbiaceae. The record is from RNAcentral.
GUUAUAGUUGAAUUUUUUCUUGUGAAUCGGGCGUCUAAGUCUUUUGGAAAAGAAAGUUGAGCCUUGGGGAGCAGAUGGUAGGUUUAUAUGGAACUUCAUUAGAUUCUAAUUGGGGCAUUGGUACAGUUGGAGGUCAGCAGCCAUAAGCCGAAUAUGUUCUGAAAGGUGAAUGUAGGCCUGGCCACUGGUCCAGUCCGGGCUGGAACCAGCGGUUCAGUGAUUAGGGAGGGGUUGAACCAGAAAUGGAC